This 484-nucleotide ribosomal RNA is filed under the name uncultured bacterium. Its description in RNAcentral is "partial 16S ribosomal RNA". It matches the Rfam family "Bacterial small subunit ribosomal RNA", at positions 30 to 507 of the family's 1533-position model. The record is from RNAcentral.
AUUGAACGCUGGCGGCAGGCCUAACACAUGCAAGUCGAGCGGAUGAAGGGAGCUUGCUCCUGGAUUCAGCGGCGGACGGGUGAGUAAUGCCUAGGAAUCUGCCUGGUAGUGGGGGAUAACGUCCGGAAACGGGCGCUAAUACCGCAUACGUCCUGAGGGAGAAAGUGGGGGAUCUUCGGACCUCACGCUAUCAGAUGAGCCUAGGUCGGAUUAGCUAGUUGGUGGGGUAAAGGCCUACCAAGGCGACGAUCCGUAACUGGUCUGAGAGGAUGAUCAGUCACACCGGAACUUAGACACCGUCCAGGCUCCUACGGGAGGCCGCAGUGGGGAAUAUUGGACAAUGGGCGAAAGCCUGAUCCAGCCAUGCCGCGUGUGUGAAGAAGGUCUUCGGAUUUUAAAGCACUUUAAGUUGGGAGGAAGGGCAGUAAGUUAAUACCUUGCUGUUUUGACGUUACCAACAGAAUAAGCACCGGCUAACUUCGUG